This 440-nucleotide ribosomal RNA is filed under the name uncultured bacterium. Its description in RNAcentral is "partial 16S ribosomal RNA". It matches the Rfam family "Bacterial small subunit ribosomal RNA", at positions 338 to 795 of the family's 1533-position model. The record is from RNAcentral.
CCUACGGGAGGCAGCAGUGGGGCAUAUUGCACAAUGGGGGAAACCCUGAUGCAGCGACGCCGCGUGAGUGAAGAAGUAUUUCGGUAUGUAAAGCUCUAUCAGCAGGGAAGAUAAUGACGGUACCUGACUAAGAAGCCCCGGCUAACUACGUGCCAGCAGCCGCGGUAAUACGUAGGGGGCAAGCGUUAUCCGGAUUUACUGGGUGUAAAGGGAGCGUAGACGGCAGCACAAGUCUGGAGUGAAAUGCCGGGGCUUAACCCCGGAACUGCUUUGGAAACUGUGCAGCUAGAGUGCAGGAGAGGUAAGUGGAAGUCCUAGUGUAGCGGUGAAAUGCGUAGAUAUUAGGAGGAACACCAGUGGCGAAGGCGGCUUACUGGACUGUAACUGACGUUGAGGCUCGAAAGCGUGGGGAGCAAACAGGAUUAGAUACCCCUGUAGUC